RNAcentral lists this ribosomal RNA (970 nucleotides) under human gut metagenome. Its description in RNAcentral is "bacterial LSU rRNA". It matches the Rfam family "Bacterial large subunit ribosomal RNA", at positions 1960 to 2925 of the family's 2925-position model. The record is from RNAcentral.
CGAAAUUCCUUGUCGGGUAAGUUCCGACCUGCACGAAUGGCGUAACGACUUCCCCACUGUCUCGACCAGGAGCUCGGCGAAAUUGCAGUACGAGUAAAGAUGCUCGUUAAGCGCAGAAGGACGAAAAGACCCCGGGACCUUUACUAUACCUUGGUAUUGGCAUUCGGUGUGGAUUGUGUAGCAUAGGCGGGAGGCCGAGAGGCGCGGUCGCCAGAUCGCGCGGAGCCGUAAGGUGAAAUACCGCUCUGUUCGCAUUGGAUGUCUAACCUCGAACAGUCAUCCUGUUCAGGGACAGUGCCUGGCGGGUAGUUUAACUGGGGCGGUUGCCUCCCAAAGAGUAACGGAGGCGCCCAAAGGUCCGCUCAGCCCGGUUGGCAAUCGGGUGGCGAGUGCAAGUGCACAAGCGGGCUUGACUGCGAGGACGACGGUCCGAGCAGGGACGAAAGUCGGGACUAGUGAUCCGGUGCCGGUGUACGGACGCGGCAUCGCUCAACGGAUAAAAGGUACCCCGGGGAUAACAGGCUGAUCAUUCCCAAGAGUCCAUAUCGACGGGAUGGUUUGGCACCUCGAUGUCGGCUCGUCGCAUCCUGGGGCUGGAGCAGGUCCCAAGGGUUCGGCUGUUCGCCGAUUAAAGCGGCACGCGAGCUGGGUUCAGAACGUCGUGAGACAGUUUGGUCUCUAUCCUCUGCGCUCGUUGGAAUGCUGAGGAGGCCUGCCCAUAGUACGAGAGGACCUGGGUGGACGAACCUCUGGUAUGCCGGUUGUCACGCCAGUGGCACGGCCGGUUGGCUACGUUCGGAAGGGAUAACCGCUGAAAGCAUCUAAGCGGGAAGCCUGCUCCAAGAUAAGCAUUCCGUGGAACCUUCGAGUUCCUGUAGUCCCCAUGCAGAACACGUGGUCGAUAGGCCGGACGUGGAAGCCCCGCGAGGGGUGGAGCCGACCGGUACUAACGGACGAAAGGCAACACUAA